Molecule: long non-coding RNA, 6528 nt
Filed under: Vitis vinifera (wine grape)
Lineage: Eukaryota; Viridiplantae; Streptophyta; Magnoliopsida; Vitales; Vitaceae
Description: long non-coding RNA (VVIN_LNC004483)
Source: RNAcentral
UCAUUUUAUGUCUCAGUAUUUCUACUCUCUGCAUUUGCUUUCUCACUCUCACAGCUGACUCCCAUUUUCAUUUUCCUGCUAUCUGUCUCGGUGUUUCUCCCCUUUGCUUGAAGUAACACAAAGAAACCUUUUCCUUGUUCUCAUUACAUGUCUUUGAAUUUCAGUUGCUUUGUUUGAGCUUUCUCCAUCUCUUUACUUUCUACUCAUUCUGUCGUUUUGCCAACUAUUCCGACUCUCUGCACUCUCCUUGCCGGUAAGUAAUCUCAUUUUCCAAUUUUUGUUGAUCUCUAUCUCACUUCUAAUCACUUGAAAAAGGGCUGAAAAAAAAAAAAAAAAUCUGCUUUGUUGUCAAACUGAAUCAAACUGCAUGCAUCCCUUGAGCUUUCUCCAUCUCAUGACUCUGUACCCCUUUGUCCAAUUUUCUUGUUUCACUCAUACUCGCUUCUGAUUCUCCUUUUCAUCUCUUUGCUUGGAGCAAGUCCUCUGCUCCUUUCAUCUCCUAGUUUGGUUUCAUUUGUUGCACUCUCUUCUUUGUUAGCUGUUAUUUCUGCUUUCAUUCGUUACUUGUUUUUUUCUUUUUCUCAGUCACCAUCUGUUUUCCCAAGCAAGCUAAAAGGGAGGGAAAAAAAAAAAGAAACAGUCCGCCUUAGACGAAAUGGCAGACAUCGUUAUUACCAUUGCUGCAAAAGUUGCAGAGUACUUGGUUGCUCCAAUUGGACGCCAGCUUAGAUAUCUGUUUUGCUACCGGAGCUAUACGGAUGAUCUCAACAAGAAGGUUCAGGAGUUGGGGCUGUGAGAUUUCAUGUUCUAUUUAUUCAAUGAUCAUACAGGAUCAUAUGUUGAAUCACAUGAAGAAAUUAUGUCAUAAAUACUAUUAAAAUUGUACCAACCUGAUUCCAUUUGUGUGUUUGAUGAAGACGGUAUGAAUCUUCUAAGACUGAUCCAUACCUGGGUUACUUAAAUAUCUGCCUAACAUUCCAACAAUGUACGCAAUAUCCGGACGCGUACAAACUUGUGCAUACAUGAGACUUCCUACUGCCGAGGCAUAGGGAAAUCUCUCCAUAUCUUUCUUCUCAAGUUCAUUUUUCGGACAUUGGUGCAAACUAAACUUAUCGCCUUUUGCUACAGGCGUGUCUCCUAGUGCACAAUUGCUCAUGCCAAAUCUACUCAACACCUUAUCGAUGUAGGCCUUUUGUGAUAACCCAAGUAUACCUCUUGAACGAUCCCUAUGGAUCUGUAUACCCAGCACAAAAGAUGCAUUACCAAGAUCCUUCAUGUCAAAUUUACUAGACAGAAAUCGUUUGGUUUCAUGCAAAAGUCCCACAUCACUGCUUGCAAGUAGAAUAUCAUCAACAUAUAACACCAAGAUAAUGAAUUUGCUCCCACUGAACUUAAGGUAUAUGCAUUGAUCAACAGUGUUUUCUUUAAAACCAAAUGAAGUAAUCACUUGAUCAAACUUUCGGUACCAUUGUCGGGAUGCUUGCUUUAAACCAUAUAUGGACCUUUUUAAUCUGCAUACAAGUUGCUUUGAAUCAUUAGACUCAAAGUUCUCCGGUUGCACCAUGUAUAUUGUCUCAUCAAUGUUGCCAUUAAGAAACGCAGUUUUAACGUCCAUUUGAUGUAGCUCUAAAUCAUAAUGAGCUACAAGUGCCAUGAUGAUUCUAAAGGAGUCCUUUGAUGAAACUGGUGAAAAUGUCUCCUUAUAAUCAAUGCCUUCCUUUUGAGUGAAACCUUUUGCAACUAGGCGUGCCUUAUACCUAACAAUAUUGCCUUUUGAAUCCCGCUUAGUUUUAAAAAUCCAUUUACAACCAAUCGGUUUUACACCUUUAGGCAACUCUACUAGGUCCCAAACACCAUUGUCUUUCAUUGAUUUCAUCUCAUCCUUCAUGGCUUCUAUCCACUUUUCAGAAUUAGAACUUUGUUUGACUUGACUAACUGAAAUUGGAUCGUCUUCCAGACCCAUGUCAAACUCAUAUUCUUGGAGAUAUACAACAUAAUCAUCUGAAAUUGUACUUCUCCUUUCUCUAGUGGAUCUCCUUAGUGGCACUUGUACUUGAGGUUGUUGAGUUACCUCUUGAUGAACUUGAAUCGGUUCCAUAACUUGAGCAGGAGGAAUCUCAGGUGUGUCUUGAAUCCCUGUUAUCGACUGUACAUUCUGAAUAGUGUCAUUAAACAUAAUAUGACCAUGUCCAGUCGUAAUAAUAGGAAUAUUAACAAAUUCCUCUUCAAAGACCACCUUUCUUAAUGGCUCUCUCCCACUUGACUCAACAUCCUCAAUGAAAUUAGCAUUGCCCGUUUCAAAGAAGGAUCUAGUUGAGGGAUCAUAAAAUUUGAAACCUCUUGACCUUUCAGAAUACCCUACAAAGUAGCAGCUCACUGUUUUGGAGUCCAAUUUCUUUUCAUUUGGCUUGUAAGGCCUAGCUUCAGCUGGACAACCCCAGACAUGCAAGUGCCUAAUACUAGGUUUCUUGCUAGUCCAUAACUCAUAUGGGGUUUUGGCUACUGCUUUGCUUGGUACUCUAUUCAAAAUAUAAACUGCAGUUUUUAUGGCUUCGCCCCAAAGUGAUUUUGGUAAGGUGGAAUGACUAAUCAUACUUCUUACCAUAUCCUUAAGAGUACGGUUUCGCCUCUCUGCUACACCAUUUUGGUUCGGAGUCCCUGGCAUGGUGUAUUGAGGAACGAUACCACACUCCAUCAAAUAUUUGGCGAAUGGCCCUGGACAUUGUUCUCCAGAUCCGUCAUAUCUACCAUAAUAUUCACCUCCACGGUAAGAUCUGACGGCUUUUAUUUUCUUGCUUAGUUGGUUCUCAACUUCAGCUUUGAAAUUCUUGAAAACAUCUAAUGACUGAGACUUUUCAUGAAUCAAAUAAAGAUAGCCAUAACGCGAGUAAUCGUCAAUGAAAGUGAUAAAAUACUGUUGUCCAUUCCAAGAAGGGGUAGGAAAUGGACCACAAAUGUCUGUAUGUAUCAAUUCCAAGACGUUAUUGCACCUAUUGGCAUUCUUUUUCCUCAUAUUUGUUUGUUUUCCCUUAAUGCACUCUAUACAGACUUGAAAGUCUGAGAAAUCAAGUGGAUCAAGAAUUCCUUCUGACACAAGCCUUUGAAUUCGUUGAUUUGAAAUAUGACCCAAACGCUUGUGCCAUAACAUUGAUGAAUUCUCAUUCAUUAAUUUUCGCUUAAUGCCAUAAUUACUUGAAUGCAAGGUUUCAUUUCCAUUAGUGGCCUUUAUGUUCAAUUUAUAUAGUUUGUCUGUUGGACUACCUGUACCAAUAAUAUUUGAAUUUAGAUAAAGACUAACCAUUCCAUUUCCAAAUGAACAACAAUAUCCAAAUUUGUCCAAACAUGAAACAGAAAUUAAAUUUCGUCUAAACGACGGUACUACAAAAGUCUCUUCCAAAUCCAAUGUACAUCCAGAGUCUAACUGUAAUCUGAAAAGACCAAUAGCCUUGACUGCAACCUUGUUGCCAUUUCCCACAUAGAUGUAUCUUUCACCAUCAGUUGGCAUUUGGCUCCUUAGGCAACCUUGCAUAGUGACACUUAUGUGAGUAGUUGCACCCGUAUCUAUCCACCAAGUGUCAGUAGGCACUACAGCUAAAUUAAUUUCUGAACAAACAAAGUUGAGAAGUGUACCUUUCUUUUCACGCCAAGCAGCGUAUUUGGUACAUGUCUUCUUCAUAUGACCAGCCUUUUUGCAAAAGAAACAAGUGAUCUCCUUAUCUUGUUUCUUUUGCUCCUUUUGCUUUGAUGUCCCAGAAACUGCAGUUUGUUUUCCUUUAUUGUCCCUCUUUCUUUUCUUGUUGGUACCAAAUCCCUGAGAUGUGGAAGCCAAGUGAGCACUUUCUAUCUUUUCUUGCUUCAAUCUCUCUUCCUCUUGCACACAUUGAGCAAUAAGCUCAUUCAAAGUCCAUUUUUCCUUUUGUGUAUUGUAACUGAUUUUGAAUGGACUGAAUUGUGUAGGCAGAGAGAUCAAGACCAAGUGCACGAGUAUGUCUUCCGACAACUCUAACUUUAGUGCCUUGAGUCUCGUCACAAGAUUAGACAUUUCCAUAAUGUACUCCCUGAUAUUCUCUUUCCCUUUAUACCGCAUAGAGACAAGCUUACUAAGAAUAGUGCUUGUCUCAACCUUUUCGUUUGCAGCGAAUCGGUUUGCUAUCUGGUCCAAGAAUGCCUUGGCUUGGGUGUCCUCAGGUAUUGCACCCCUUAUUGCUUCUGGAAUUGAGUGCUUCAUAAUCAUUAGACUCAUGCGAUUGGAUCGUUCCCAUUUUUCCAUAGUAGACCUUUGCUCAGCAGUGCUGGCACUAGUAAGAUCUGAUGGGCGAUCCUCCCUUAAUGCAAAGUCUAAAUCCAUGCACCCGAGCACAAUUAUAACGUGCUCUUUCCAUUUCUUGAAAUUUGUGCCGUUAAGCACAGGAAUGUUAUUAACAUUUGCAGAUAUAGAAGAUGCUGAAUUCAUAAUAAUAAAGCUCACAAUUAGUCACAUAAGCAUCAUACAUACAUGAAUAAAUAUACAUCAUGCAAGAUACCUAGCACAAACAUUAAUAUUCAGUCUUUGGACAAAAAUAUUAACUUGUAAUUGGUAUCCUUAUACAAAAUUAAUACAUAAAUAUUGACAAUAAAAUCAAACACAAUAUGUUUGUCUUUGGACUAACAUAUCAAUACAAGAUAAACAUUAUAUGUCAUAUAUUUAUGAUUACUUUAUUUAUUAUUAUAUUAAAAUAAUCCUCCUUUGGGUUGAUUAUUUUAUACAAUAAUACCAUGCUUAUAUAUUUCAAAAACAAAUAAAAUUAUGUAACACGUUACUUUGGCAACAAAUAUACAUAAUUUAUUUAUUUUGAAAUAAAGACAACAAACAAUAAUUUAAUCAAAAUUAUUUAUGCAUAAACUCAUGUACAUAUCCAUAUAUACAUUUAUAUAUAAAUUAAAGCAUAAAUGCAAGUUAUGGGCUUUAGUCCAAUGGUUCAAGGAGAUCCACUAGUACCAUUGUUUAUGCAUAAAUACAUAGGGUUUUUUUUUUUUUUUUUUAAAUCAAAAACGCCAUUCAUGGCGUUGGCCUCCAACAGCACUUAUCACAGGAAAUUGACGCCAAACGACGUCGUUUUUUUUUUUUUUUUUUUGGUUCAUUGCAGCCCAAACGACCCAAGGUCGUUUGCAGCCAUAGCAUCGGCACAGCGGCAUCGUCAGUGAUGCCGGAAGUGGCGUCGCGGCGGCACAAGGCCAGCGCGCCUCCAUAGCGCUCCAGCGCCGGAAGCAGCGUCGUUAGUGACGUCGGCAGCGGCCGCGCUCCAGCGCGCCUCCAAUGACGCUGAUGAAGCGCCCUAACAGCGCUGUAGUGGCGCCGUUAACGCGCCCUAACGACGCGUGGAGAUGGCGCCUCACAACGCCUGCAAUGGCGCCCAACGGCACCCUUCGCCGGAGACAACGCUUGAGGGCGCGCCUGAAACGCGCCUGCAGCACGCCUGAAACGCUCCAGUAGCGCGCUUGAAACGCGCCUAAACCGUCGCCCUAAACCGCACCUGCAACGGCGCUGCCUGAUCCGCGCCUCAAUGGCGCCUGAAGGCCCUAGAAUGGUGCGCCUGCAAUGGCGCCUGCAUUGUGCCUCCAAGGUAGGUGAACAGCGCCUCCAAAAGGCGCCUGAAUUGCGCCUUGACUGGCGCCUUAACGCCGUCGGAGAGACGCCCUAAAGGGCGCUGCAUAACAGCGCCUUUAUGGCAUCUGAGUGGCGCCUGCACUGGCGCCUUCUCUGGUGCCUCCAGAUGCGCGUGAAACACACUUCCAAUGACGCUGAAUCCAAUCAAAAGGAAAAACAAAGGCAGUACAAUUUUUUAUUGCCUUAACAUGCUAUUUCUCAUUGAUCCAACAAAGGCUCUGAUACCAAUUGUGAGAUUUCAUGUUCUAUUUAUUCAAUGAUCAUACAGGAUCAUAUGUUGAAUCACAUGAAGAAAUUAUGUCAUAAAUACUAUUAAAAUUGUACCAACCUGAUUCCAUUUGUGUGUUUGAUGAAGACGGUAUGAAUCUUCUAAGACUGAUCCAUACCUGGGUUACUUAAAUAUCUGCCUAACAUUCCAACAAUGUACGCAAUAUCCGGACGCGUACAAACUUGUGCAUACAUGAGACUUCCUACUGCCGAGGCAUAGGGAAAUCUCUCCAUAUUCCAGCGCUCUAAGACUGAUGGAGGGCACCACCUCUGAAUUCUCUCAGGCAAUGGGAGCGGGAGAGAGAGCGGUUAAGUUCAAAAGAUGUGAUUGUACAAAAGACACAAGCCAAAGUCCUUUUAUACCCUCCUGCCUUAGGGACCAUACCCAUUGGUUAUUGGGCCUCACAGGCCUUAGGCCCAUCAUCUAAAGCCCGUGAUGGCAUUGGGCUCUACACAUUAGGUGGCCCAUACUCAAGAUUAAAUCAUAAAUUGCAUGUGAAAAGAUAGCUUAAUCCUGGACAAUGUUUAAUAUAUUGUCGGUCCAUAUUUUUUCUAUCAGGAGGGGCGUGUGAGGGAUGACCUUCAGAGAACUGUUGGUGACGAAACGAAACGAG